Molecule: non-coding RNA, 1254 nt
Organism: Electrophorus electricus (electric eel)
Lineage: Eukaryota; Metazoa; Chordata; Actinopteri; Gymnotiformes; Gymnotidae
Source: RefSeq, a predicted model, not a curated record
UUUGAUGGAGAAGGAGAAAGAAAAAAGUUUUAGCAGUUGCAGCUGUUAUCGAGACACGUUCACCUCAUGAGUUUGUUACGGACUUGCAAAGAAGGAAAAUUAAGUUUUGGGCUUUUCUUGCAGGAGAUUCACUCCAGAAUGGAACGGUUAUGUCAAUCUUCUCACCUGUAAUGAAGGCAGUGGAUCUCUGGUGACCAGAGGUUAUCUUAACAUCAGCAUGACUGCAAGGGACCAUUUCCCUACUUUUUUUCUCUAAAGAACAUCACUGUGGAUUAUCCCUUUUUAAAUGGGGCAUUCGCUUUAGAGUAUAUUAUAGAAGUGUAAAAAACUGGUGACGUUCCAUAAAUCAGGAAUUUUGGAUUCCAAAGUGUGAACUGUGGCUCCACAGAAAUAUUAACCCUGUGCUUCCCUGUUAAGGGAUAUUAAUGCUCUGUAUACCUUUUGUCUAACACACAUGAUUCAGCUUCUCAAGUAAACCCUUUAGAAGCUGGGUCAGAGAAGGGAUAGCAUAAGAUGGAGAACCUUGGGUGCCCAGCACCGGAGUUGGCAAUCAAUGGUUUAUGGUAACCUGAGUCCCCUUCAUUACUUCAUGUUGGCUCCUAAAAAUGAAUCGUAUGGCAGUUUCAGAUCCUGGUCAGGCAACCCUGUCUACAGCCAACUUUAACAACCAACACAGAACCCACGAACAACACUGAAAGGCAGCCCAGAGUCUGAAGCGGCUGGAUGUUUGCAGCAGAACAGUAGGAGAUCGGUCACAUUGUUUUUGUGCUGGUUUAGGGCAGUGCUAAGUCUGGAAGACCCCUUUAGCUUGCAAGAUGAAAGGCCUCACACGGAGGUGGCACCCAAUAGUGUGGUGCAAAGUGACACUUUAGUAGUUUUAUUUUUUCCCUGUUCUUUUGGUAUUAUUUGAGGUAUGCAGUACUGUCUAUUUGAAGUGUCUUUGGGUUGGUUGGUUUUUCUGAAGACAGCAGAACUCCAUGUAUUAUGACAAAUGGGUGAUUGCCAUAGGCAAAGCAACAUAACCUUGUUUGCAUUUUGACGGUAUUUGUGGGGAAAUAUGGAGUGGUGAAGAGAAUGUACAAAAUCAAUCUGCUAUCAGGGGUUGACAUAGAAACUGAGAUGAAAUCCUGUUAAAUACUGACGUUGGUAAAAUAGUUAAGUUUCAAAAAUACAUAAGCCAAAAAAAAAAUAAAAAAUUGUCAGUGAAAUGACUAUCAAAGCCUGUACUAUAUGUAAAAUAAAAUUUUUUUUUUA